GCGCCGAUGGUGUAAUGGUUAGCAUUAAUGCCUUCCAAGCUUCAAAGCGAGUAAGCAUUAGAUUCGGGUUCAAUUCCCGAUCGGCGCA
Molecule: transfer RNA, 88 nt
Filed under: Diplodia seriata
Lineage: Eukaryota; Fungi; Ascomycota; Dothideomycetes; Botryosphaeriales; Botryosphaeriaceae
Rfam family: tRNA
About the family: Transfer RNA (tRNA) molecules are approximately 80 nucleotides in length. Their secondary structure includes four short double-helical elements and three loops (D, anti-codon, and T loops). Further hydrogen bonds mediate the characteristic L-shaped molecular structure. tRNAs have two regions of fundamental functional importance: the anti-codon, which is responsible for specific mRNA codon recognition, and the 3' end, to which the tRNAs corresponding amino acid is attached (by aminoacyl-tRNA synthetases). tRNAs cope with the degeneracy of the genetic code in two manners: having more than one tRNA (with a specific anti-codon) for a particular amino acid; and 'wobble' base-pairing, i.e. permitting non-standard base-pairing at the 3rd anti-codon position.
Source: Rfam by way of RNAcentral